GACGAACGCUGGCGGCGUGCCUAAUACAUGCAAGUAGAACGCACAGUUUAUACCGUAGCUUGCUACACCAUAGACUGUGAGUUGCGAACGGGUGAGUAACGCGUAGGUAACCUGCCUGGUAGCGGGGGAUAACUAUUGGAAACGAUAGCUAAUACCGCAUAAUAUUAAUUAUUGCAUGAUAAUUAAUUGAAAGGUGCAAUUGCACCACUACCAGAUGGACCUGCGUUGUAUUAGCUAGUAGGUGAGGUAACGGCUCACCUAGGCGACGAUACAUAGCCGACCUGAGAGGGUGAUCGGCCACACUGGGACUGAGACACGGCCCAGACGCCUACGGGAGGCAGCAGGAGGGAAUCUUCGGCAAUGGACGAAAGUCUGACCGAGCAACGCCGCGUGAGUGAAGAAGGUUUUCGGAUCGUAAAGCUCUGUUGUAAGAGAAGAACGGGUGUGAGAGUGGAAAGUUCACACUGUGACGGUAUCUUACCAGAAAGGGACGGCUAACUACGUG
Molecule: ribosomal RNA, 505 nt
Filed under: uncultured bacterium
Lineage: Bacteria
Description: partial 16S ribosomal RNA
Rfam family: Bacterial small subunit ribosomal RNA
Source: RNAcentral